RNAcentral lists this ribosomal RNA (468 nucleotides) under uncultured bacterium. RNAcentral describes it as "partial 16S ribosomal RNA". It matches the Rfam family "Bacterial small subunit ribosomal RNA", at positions 28 to 507 of the family's 1533-position model. The record is from RNAcentral.
GACGAACGCUGGCGGCGUGCUUAACACAUGCAAGUCGAACGGAAAGGCCCUGCUUUUGUGGGGUGCUCGAGUGGCGAACGGGUGAGUAACACGUGGGUAACCUGCCAUUGACUGUGGGAUAACUUCAGGAAACUUGGGCUAAUACCGGAUAGGAUUUCCUGCUGCUUGGUGGGGGUUGGAAAGUUUCGGGGGUUGGGGAUGGACUCGCGGCUUCUCAGCUUGUUGGUGGGGUAGUGGCUUACCAAGGCUUUGACGGGUAGCCGGCCUGAGAGGGUGCCCGGCCACAUUGGGACUGAGAUACGGCCCAGACUCCUACGGGAGGCAACAGUGGAGAAUAUUGCACAAUGGGCUGAAGCCUGAUGCAGCAACGCCGCGUGCGGGAUGACGGCAUUCGGGUUGUAAACCGCUUUCGCCUGUGACGAAGCGUGAGUGACGGUAAUGGGUAAAGAAGCACCGGCUAACUACGUG